This 26-nucleotide non-coding RNA is filed under the name Cricetulus griseus (Chinese hamster). The record is from RNAcentral. Lineage: Eukaryota; Metazoa; Chordata; Mammalia; Rodentia; Cricetidae.
UGCUCCAGUGGGAGGAGCUUGAGUGG